RNAcentral lists this ribosomal RNA (1540 nucleotides) under uncultured Sodalis sp. RNAcentral's name for it is "bacterial SSU rRNA". It matches the Rfam family "Bacterial small subunit ribosomal RNA". The record is from RNAcentral. Lineage: Bacteria; Pseudomonadati; Pseudomonadota; Gammaproteobacteria; Enterobacterales; Bruguierivoracaceae.
AUUGAAGAGUUUGAUCAUGGCUCAGAUUGAACGCUGGCGGCAGGCCUAACACAUGCAAGUCGAGCGGCAGCGGAAAGGAGUAUUCUUCUUUGCCGGCGAGCGGCGGAUGGGUGAGUAAUGUCUGGGGAUCUGCCCGAUGGAGAGGGAUAACUACUGGAAACGGUAGCUAAUACCGCAUAAAGUCAUAAGACCAAAGUAGGGGACCUUAGGGCCUUACACCAUCGGAUGAACCCAGAUAGGAUUAGCUAGUAGGUGUGGUAAUGGCUCACCUAGGCAACGAUCCUUAGCUGGUCUGAGAGGAUGAUCAGCCACACUGGAACUGAGAUACGGUCCAGACUCCUACGGGAGGCAGCAGUGGGGAAUAUUGCACAAUGGGGGAAACCCUGAUGCAGCCAUGCCGCGUGUGUGAAGAAGGCCUUCGGGUUGUAAAGCACUUUUAGUGGAGAGGAAGGCAAUAGUGUAAAUAGCACUAUUGAUUGACGUUACCCGCAGAAGAAGCACCGGCUAACUCCGUGCCAGCAGCCGCGGUAAUACGGAGGGUGCGAGCGUUAAUCGGAAUUACUGGGCGUAAAGCGUACGCAGGCAGUCUGUUAAGUCAGAUGUGAAAUCCCCAGGCUUAACCUGGGAACUGCAUUUGAAACUAGCAAACUAGAGUCUCGUAGAGGGGGGUAGAAUUCCAGGUGUAGCGGUGAAAUGCGUAGAUAUCUGGAGGAAUACCAGUGGCGAAGGCGGCCCCCUGGACGAAGACUGACGCUCAGGUACGAAAGCGUGGGGAGCAAACAGGAUUAGAUACCCUGGUAGUCCAUGCUGUAAACAAUGUCGAUUUGAAGGUUGUGGUCUUGAACUGUGGCUUUCGGAGCUAACGCGUUAAAUCGACCGCCUGGGGAGUACGGCCGCAAGGUUAAAACUCAAAUGAAUUGACGGGGGCCCGCACAAGCGGUGGAGCAUGUGGUUUAAUUCGAUGCAACGCGAAGAACCUUACCUACUCUUGACAUCCAGAGAACAAAGCAGAGAUGCUCUGGUGCCUUCGGGAACUCUGAGACAGGUGCUGCAUGGCUGUCGUCAGCUCGUGUUGUGAAAUGUUGGGUUAAGUCCCGCAACGAGCGCAACCCUUGUCCUUUGUUGCCAACGAUUCGGUCGGGAACUCAAAGGAGACUGCCGGUGAUAAACCGGAGGAAGGUGAGGAUGACGUCAAGUCAUCAUGGCCCUUACGAGUAGGGCUACACACGUGCUACAAUGACGCAUACAAAGAGAAGCGAUCUCGCAAGAGUUAGUAAAACUCACAAAGUGCGCCGUAGUUCGGAUUGGAGUCUGCAACCCGACUCCAUGAAGUCGGAAUCGCUAGUAAUCGUGGAUCAGAAUGCCACGGUGAAUACGUUCCCGGGCCUUGUACACACCGCCCGUCACACCAUGGGAGUGAGUUGCAAAAGAAGUAGGUAGCUUAACCCUAUGGGAGGGCGCUUACCACUUUGUGAUUCAUGACUGGGGUGAAGUCGUAACAAGGUAACCGUAGGGGAACCUGCGGUUGGAUCACCUCCUU